AGAACGAACGCUGGCGGCAUGCCUAAUACAUGCAAGUCGAACGAACACUUCGGUGUUAGUGGCGCACGGGUGCGUAACGCGUGGGAAUCUGCCCUUGGGUUCGGAAUAACAGUUGGAAACGACUGCUAAUACCGGAUGAUAUCGAAAGAUCAAAGAUUUAUCGCCCAGGGAUGAGCCCGCGUAGGAUUAGCUAGUUGGUGAGGUAAAGGCUCACCAAGGCGACGAUCCUUAGCUGGUCUGAGAGGAUGAUCAGCCACACUGGGACUGAGACACGGCCCAGACUCCUACGGGAGCAGCAGUAGGGAAUAUUGGACAAUGGGCGCAAGCCUGAUCCAGCAAUGCCGCGUGAGUGAUGGAAGGCCGUUAGGGUUG
This 372-nucleotide ribosomal RNA is filed under the name uncultured soil bacterium. Its description in RNAcentral is "bacterial SSU rRNA". It matches the Rfam family "Bacterial small subunit ribosomal RNA", at positions 26 to 425 of the family's 1533-position model. The record is from RNAcentral.